Molecule: long non-coding RNA, 662 nt
Organism: Spinacia oleracea (spinach)
Lineage: Eukaryota; Viridiplantae; Streptophyta; Magnoliopsida; Caryophyllales; Amaranthaceae
Exons: 3
Source: RefSeq, a predicted model, not a curated record
CUAUCUACUGUAGAUACCCACUUUCAACUGCACUCUGCCCGUCUCCCUCUCUCCUUUCAUUUGUACCUUCAUCUCUUCUUCCGCCCUCAUUAUUCUUUCUCCUUGAAUCCUCCCUCAUUCAUGGAAAACUGAUUUCAUGGAAUUCAAGCAAUGUCUCUUCAUUUUAAUAAAAUGAUUAAUGUUCUGAAAAUGGGAAAAUGCGUAUUGAUAGAGGGGACAUGACACUUGCUUAUAUGGAAGUAAUGGAACUCAAGCUCCCGUGUGAUAUUGAGACUCAUGACCUGCUCGAUGCUGGAAUAUAGUAGAUUCAGUGCGGCUUUGGAUGAGACCCUGAUCUAGGAAGAAGUAUUCCAAGCUAAAGAGGUUGACAAAAUGUACCUUUGAUGUUUAUCAAAGUCAAGCAUUUAGUAUCUCCUUUGUGGUUAAAGGAAUUUAUGGCGGUGAGAUAGACAACAAAAUAGGAAAACUUAUAUAUGCUAUUUUUUUUUAUUUUUUAUUUUGCAUAUUAUAGAUAAUUGCUUAAUGCAUGGUAUAAAAUGAUGGUUAGCUAAAACAAUUAUACAAGUCUGUAGUUUUUUUUUUUUGUAUUUUGGUAUGAUAACAUAUUAACAUACCAACUCAUUCAAUUAUCGUUAGUACAAAUAUCGAAAACAAUUAUAUAA